This 1118-nucleotide ribosomal RNA is filed under the name Geoplaninae gen. My sp. v ALA-2021. RNAcentral describes it as "partial large subunit ribosomal RNA". The record is from RNAcentral. Lineage: Eukaryota; Metazoa; Platyhelminthes; Tricladida; Geoplanidae.
UAAUUAGGUUGGCCCGCUGAACUUAAGCAUAUCAUUAAGCGGAGGAAAAGAAACUAACMGGAUUUCCCUAGUAGKGGCGAACGACCGGRAAUUASCCCAGCMCCGAAUCCKGUAUCUUUGGUAUUAGGAAUUGKGGKGUAAAGGUUGCWUCUUUAGUUGUUKGGKGKGCUUCAAAUUCACUUGAUUGUGAUAUUGYCCAUAGAGGGUGUUARACCCGUUGGAGUGCAACUUGGCAAUUAUUGAUGUUUCCUAUGAGUCGGAUUGUUUGAGAAUGCAGUCCAAAUUUGGKGGKAAACUCCAUCUAAGGCUAAAUACUUGUAUGAGUCCGAUAGCAAACAAGUMCCGKGGGGAAAAGUUAAAAAAAACUUUGAAAAGAGAGUAWAAUAGUACGUGAAAUCGCUUAGAGGUAAACGAGUGGAGCCGAAAGCGUUGUAUGGGAUUCAGUUGUGUAUGUAGUAAUGAUUGUUGUUUAGUGAAAUCUCAAUAGGAAUUGCUAAAUCGAUAUGUUUAUUAUAUGCGCAAUGCACUUUCUAUACAACUAAACUGUGACCAAUAGAAUUGUUUCUCUGUCGKAAUGAUGAAGGUGAUCAAUUGUUUACAAUUGGUUUUAUAGCUCAUUGCAUGGUUAAAUUUAAUGUAUUGGUGAAUGCGAUUAGUCAAUAUUGAUAAUAGACUAUAUGUGUGAUUUGGUAGCUGACUACAUGUAGACKGUUAUUGAAUGAUAUAUGUGGUGUUGUUAUUGAUGGAUUAAUCUAAAGUCGCAGUAUAAUGUAGGUUAUCUACUCGUCCCGUCUUGAAACACGGACCAAGGAGUUUUAUAUGAUCGCGAGUCAAAGGGCCAUACGAAACCCCAUGGCGCAAUUAAAGUGAAGGUUUACUUUCGUAAGCUGAGAUGUGACCUGAAGUAGGACGCAAGUCAGAAUUCAGUGCAACAUCUACCCGUCUAAUGAUGUUCGCAUCAGGGCGGAGUUUGAGCGAUCAUGUAGAGACCCGAAAGAUGGUGAACUAUGCUUGUGCAGGUUGAAGUCAGAGGAAACUCUGAUGGAGGACCGCCGCGGUUCUGACGUGCAAAUCGAUCGUCGGACAUGAGUAUAGGGGCGAAAGACUAAUCGAACCAU